AACAGGAAAGUUAAGUAUCCAAAGUGCAGAAUUAAAAGUACAGACCAUGCACUCAGAAGGUGCUAAAAUCCAGGGCACAAAACAACCCACAAACCAAAAACAAAGUACAGUAAAACAUUAAAACUGAUUACAAAAUCAUUCAUCAUCACUACUGUCAGAGGCUUCAUCCUCAUCUGUAGCAGUAGCAUAACCUUCAUCCUCAUCUGCAUUGUUUUGAUCACCUGUAGCA
RNAcentral lists this long non-coding RNA (229 nucleotides) under Trifolium pratense (red clover). Its description in RNAcentral is "long non-coding RNA (TPRA_LNC010239)". Lineage: Eukaryota; Viridiplantae; Streptophyta; Magnoliopsida; Fabales; Fabaceae. The record is from RNAcentral.